AGCACGGUGGCCGAGUGGUUUAAGGCGUUGGACUUAAGAUCCAAUGGACGUAUGUCCGCGUGGGUUCGAACCCCACCCGUGCUA
This 84-nucleotide transfer RNA is filed under the name Haliotis rufescens (red abalone). Its description in RNAcentral is "tRNA-Leu". It matches the Rfam family "tRNA". Rfam says of the family: Transfer RNA (tRNA) molecules are approximately 80 nucleotides in length. Lineage: Eukaryota; Metazoa; Mollusca; Gastropoda; Lepetellida; Haliotidae. The record is from RNAcentral.